UUUCCGAGAGCUGCGUUGAAGCUUCAGCCUAGAAGAGAAAAUCAAUCAUAUGAUGCAUAUGUAUUUGAGUAACCUGGCAUGCAUCAUAUAUCAAAAUUACAAGGGCUGAUGUUUAAGUAUGGGAACAGAUAUUCAUACAUUGGAAAAAUGAUGCAUCUUUUUUUGCCACAACACAAGAAAGUUCAUAUUAAACUGUCAUGCACUUAGUUGGAAAAACUGUAUUUAAUAAUCACUU
RNAcentral lists this long non-coding RNA (235 nucleotides) under Hordeum vulgare. RNAcentral's name for it is "long non-coding RNA (HVUL_LNC011889)". Lineage: Eukaryota; Viridiplantae; Streptophyta; Magnoliopsida; Poales; Poaceae. The record is from RNAcentral.